This is a long non-coding RNA of Mauremys mutica (yellowpond turtle), 1732 nucleotides long. RefSeq lists it as uncharacterized. The transcript is spliced from 5 exons. The record is from RefSeq and is a predicted model, not a curated record. NCBI's taxonomy places the organism in Eukaryota, Metazoa, Chordata, Testudines, Geoemydidae.
AGGAGGAGGAGGAGGAAGAGGAGCGCAGGAAAGGUACCGUCACAGCAUCCAUCGCAGCUAGAAGCCCAUGAGGAGGAGAGAGGCGGGGCAGAAGAGAUGGUGGGAAACCAGGCAACACGUACAAGCAGGAUCAUGUCCGAGACAGUGGACAUGACAGAGAUGAAGAGGUAACCUGCACUGUGAGGGGAGACCGACAGAUGGGCAGAGGGACACUCACCUGACUGGGUGAUCUCCUACUUAACAGCAGUUACUGGCUGUGCAGACACACUGGAUCCUGGAUGGCCGUGAGGAGAUCUGGCCUCCACUGAAUCCUCAUCCCCAUCCCUUUCAAGUGAUAGUUAUUGCAGUCCAGCAAGUGGGAGAACACCAGCUAUUCUGAGACACCUGGGCUAGUGCACUAUGCUGAGUGGAAUGAGGUCACAGCUGGGGAAGCAAGAGGAGGUAGCCAGCAACAUGAGUGAGGAGGUUCACGUACAGAGUUAGGGAAUCAGGACUGCAAGGUAUAGAAGGGAAGCAAUACGUACCACAGAGACGACUGGAAAAUGGAUCAAGGAAAGCAGCAGAUGGUUGGCAGUAAGAUCCAUUUGGACAUGAUUACAGGUUCAGGAAUUGGAUUGGAUCUCCUGAUCUGCAUUCAUUUCCCCAAGUGCCAAAUGGGAAUUUUGUAUUUGUGUCAGUUCAAAAUUCAAAUUCAACUCUGCUAGCUGGAUUUUGUGAUUCCACCUGUGUUACCAUGAAUGGAAAGGUUGAUCACUGACCCCAAUGAUAAAACCUUAAAAUCUGCACUGCAUUCAAGGAUGAUUAGAGCCACUAAUCACACUUUCCCCAAAGUUGUUAGCGUCUUCAGUCCAAACACCCAACUGGAGUUGGUUUGUUUAUGAGUUUCAAUUAAGUCCAUGUUUUCGAUCACAUUUCUCUUUUCUGGCUCCUGCUACCACUGGCUGGUUGAAGUCAGAGGUCUGUAGAAGCACCACUCAGCUGUCCAGGAGCUCCUCUGAUGGGUUUGCCCCUUCCCAAUUUACAAGGAGAACAAAGCCGAUCCUCUGCAGGUUUUUACUGACAGUCAGUCUAUCCAGCUGUCCAGCAACAUACAAUAUGUAUAAACAAGUUGUAUGCUUCUGUGCAUUCAUCUGUAUUGUACAUCAAUGUAUCUGCAGAUUAACUGGGAUCUCCUAGCUAGUUGCCAGUGAAGUUCUCAGUCACCAGGGCUAGACAAUCAUGUACUGAACAGAGUGUUCACUGCAGGGGAGAUAGCUUAUUGUGUAAACUUCCCCUAUGUAGUAUAUAAAUUUGUAGUUUAAAAAAUUCUCAUGUUCUGCAUUUAAUUUAUUCAUUAGUAAAUGACAUUGAAUCUAGAGAUUAACCCUCCCCAGUUUAUAUAAUGACUGUAAACUACAUAACCCGUCAAUCCACUUACUAAAUCAAUUGUUAAUAGAUAAACACGAGACCAGAUUGUGACUGACCCUCAUGCUGCUAUGUAGGAAGGGCAGGAUUCAAGGAGCUGCUUCUUCAUGUGCAUCCCAUGCAAGGGCCGAUGACUGACACAGAAACUGCUCCCUUUAUUCAAUCCCAAGGGUACAUGUUGCCCCCAAGGAGGUGGAGAGGCUAUAGGGCAGGAGGAGUGGGCAAACUACGGCCCACAGGCCACAUCUGGCCCACCAGCUGUUUUAAUCCAGCCUUCGAGCUCCGACUCUGCAUCAAACUGUGGAGCACACCCAGUGCAUUGAGGGAA